UGGCCGGUACAAAGGGCUGCGAUGCCGCAAGGUUAAGCGAAUCCUUUUAAAGCCGGUCUCAGUUCGGAUUGGGGUCUGCAACUCGACCCCAUGAAGUCGGAGUCGCUAGUAAUCGCAGAUCAGCAACGCUGCGGUGAAUACGUUCCCGGGCCUUGUACACACCGCCCGUCACGUCAUGAAAGUCGGUAACACCCGAAGCCAGUGGCCUAACCCUUGGGAGGGAGCUGUCGAAGGUGGGAUCGGCGAUUGGGACCAAGUCGUAACAAGGUAGCCGUACCGGAAGGUGCG
This 288-nucleotide ribosomal RNA is filed under the name Mycobacterium intracellulare. RNAcentral describes it as "partial 16S ribosomal RNA". It matches the Rfam family "Bacterial small subunit ribosomal RNA", at positions 1231 to 1516 of the family's 1533-position model. Lineage: Bacteria; Bacillati; Actinomycetota; Actinomycetes; Mycobacteriales; Mycobacteriaceae. The record is from RNAcentral.